This 559-nucleotide ribosomal RNA is filed under the name Staphylococcus pasteuri. RNAcentral describes it as "bacterial SSU rRNA". It matches the Rfam family "Bacterial small subunit ribosomal RNA", at positions 330 to 881 of the family's 1533-position model. Lineage: Bacteria; Bacillati; Bacillota; Bacilli; Caryophanales; Staphylococcaceae. The record is from RNAcentral.
GGUGGGCCCUUCGGGAGGCAGCAGUAGGGAAUCUUCCGCAAUGGGCGAAAGCCUGACGGAGCAACGCCGCGUGAGUGAUGAAGGUCUUCGGAUCGUAAAACUCUGUUAUCAGGGAAGAACAAACGUGUAAGUAACUGUGCACGUCUUGACGGUACCUGAUCAGAAAGCCACGGCUAACUACGUGCCAGCAGCCGCGGUAAUACGUAGGUGGCAAGCGUUAUCCGGAAUUAUUGGGCGUAAAGCGCGCGUAGGCGGUUUUUUAAGUCUGAUGUGAAAGCCCACGGCUCAACCGUGGAGGGUCAUUGGAAACUGGAAAACUUGAGUGCAGAAGAGGAAAGUGGAAUUCCAUGUGUAGCGGUGAAAUGCGCAGAGAUAUGGAGGAACACCAGUGGCGAAGGCGACUUUCUGGUCUGUAACUGACGCUGAUGUGCGAAAGCGUGGGGAUCAAACAGGAUUAGAUACCCUGGUAGUCCACGCCGUAAACGAUGAGUGCUAAGUGUUAGGGGGUUUCCGCCCCUUAGUGCUGCAGCUAACGCAUUAAGCACUCCGCCUGGGAACC